UACGUAGGUGACCAGCGUUGUCCGGAUUUACUGGGCGUAAAGAGCGCGCAGGCGGUCGUUCAAGUCGAGUGUGAAAGCCCCCGGCUCAACUGGGGAGGGUCACUCGAUACUGAUCGACUUGAAGGCAGGAGAGGGAAGCGGAAUUCCCGGUGUAGUGGUGAAAUGCGUAGAUAUCGGGAGGAACACCAGUGGCGAAGGCGAUCUUCUGGACGGAUACUGACGCUGAGGCGCGAAAGCUAGGGGAGCAAACGGG
RNAcentral lists this ribosomal RNA (253 nucleotides) under uncultured bacterium. Its description in RNAcentral is "partial 16S ribosomal RNA". It matches the Rfam family "Bacterial small subunit ribosomal RNA", at positions 524 to 776 of the family's 1533-position model. The record is from RNAcentral.